AUUGAACGCUGGCGGCAUGCUUUACACAUGCAAGUCGAACGGCAGCGCGGGCUUCGGCCUGGCGGCGAGUGGCGAACGGGUGAGUAAUGCAUCGGAACGUGCCCAGUAGUGGGGGAUAGCCCGGCGAAAGCCGGAUUAAUACCGCAUACGAACUGAGGGUGAAAGCGGGGGACCGAAAGGCCUCGCGCUAUUGGAGCGGCCGAUGUCGGAUUAGCUAGUUGGUGGGGUAAAGGCUUACCAAGGCGACGAUCCGUAGCUGGUCUGAGAGGACGACCAGCCACACUGGGACUGAGACACGGCCCAGACUCCUACGGGAGGCAGCAGUGGGGAAUUUUGGACAAUGGGGGCAACCCUGAUCCAGCCAUGCCGCGUGCGGGAAGAAGGCCUUCGGGUUGUAAACCGCUUUUGUUCGGGAAGAAAUCCUCUGGGCUAAUACCCCGGGGGGAUGACGGUACCGGAAGAAUAAGCACCGGCUAACUACGUG
RNAcentral lists this ribosomal RNA (484 nucleotides) under uncultured bacterium. Its description in RNAcentral is "partial 16S ribosomal RNA". It matches the Rfam family "Bacterial small subunit ribosomal RNA", at positions 29 to 507 of the family's 1533-position model. The record is from RNAcentral.